This 480-nucleotide long non-coding RNA is filed under the name Olea europaea subsp. europaea. Lineage: Eukaryota; Viridiplantae; Streptophyta; Magnoliopsida; Lamiales; Oleaceae. The record is from RNAcentral.
UUUAAGUCAACACUUGACUUUAUUUUGUUGCAACUAGCAGGUUCAUUAUCCUGGAUCACUGAUUAAUGAUUCGCACCUUCUUGAAGGUCGAAUGAGCCUACUAGAUUCACAUAGAGCUGUCAUGUCCUCAGGAGUCUUUACUUCCUGAUCCAAAGUAUGUCCCAUAUCAGAUAUGGGAACAAACUCAGAUUUAUCUACUUGGUUAACUAUAUCUGUGGACUUUUGAACUCUUUCAAAAUUCUAUUUUACUCCCACUGUCCUCUCCUAGAGUAAACAUUUUCUCUAAGAAGACGAUAUGUCGUGAGAUGAAGACUUUCUUCAUGAUAAUAGAAUUUAUAUUCAAUUGUCUCCUUUUAAUAUCUCACAAAUAUGCAUUUAUCGGAUUUAGUCUCAAACUUAUCCGAUUUAAGGCGCUUCAAAUAAGCGUCAUGGCCCCAAUCUUUCAUAUAAGAUAAAUUGGGACUAUUGUCUUUCCAUAAC